This 426-nucleotide ribosomal RNA is filed under the name uncultured Ascomycota. RNAcentral describes it as "SSU rRNA". It matches the Rfam family "Eukaryotic small subunit ribosomal RNA", at positions 843 to 1266 of the family's 1831-position model. The record is from RNAcentral. Lineage: Eukaryota; Fungi; Ascomycota.
GGUUCUAUUUUGUUGGUUUCUAGGACCGCCGUAAUGAUUAAUAGGGACAGUCGGGGGCAUCAGUAUUCAACUGUCAGAGGUGAAAUUCUUGGAUCAGUUGAAGACUAACUACUGCGAAAGCAUUUGCCAAGGAUGUUUUCAUUAAUCAGGAACGAAAGUUAGGGGAUCGAAGACGAUCAGAUACCGUCGUAGUCUUAACCAUAAACUAUGCCGACUAGGGAUNCGNGANCGGUGUUAUUCAUGACYNCGUUCGGCACCUUACGAGAAAUCAAAGUCUUUGGGUUCCGGGGGGAGUAUGGUCGCAAGGCUGAAACUUAAAGAAAUUGACGGAAGGGCACCACCAGGRGUGGAGCCUGCGGCUUAAUUUGACUCAACACGGGGAAACUCACCAGGUCCAGACACAAUAAGGAUUGACAGAUUGAGAGA